RNAcentral lists this ribosomal RNA (253 nucleotides) under uncultured bacterium. RNAcentral's name for it is "partial 16S ribosomal RNA". It matches the Rfam family "Bacterial small subunit ribosomal RNA", at positions 524 to 776 of the family's 1533-position model. The record is from RNAcentral.
UACAGAGGGUGCGAGCGUUAAUCGGAAUUACUGGGCGUAAAGCGUGCGUAGACGGCUAUCUAAGUCGGGUGUGAAAGCCCCGGGCUCAACCUGGGAAUUGCAUUCGAGACUGAAUAGCUAGGGUACGGUAGAGGGAAGCGGAAUUUCCGGUGUAGCGGUGAAAUGCGUAGAUAUCGGGAGGAACACCAGUGGCGAAGGCGACUACCUGGCCUGUUCUUGACGCUGAGGCGCGAAAGCUAGGGGAGCAAACGGG